UAUUGCUAUGGUGUGAGGUCAUGGACCUCGACUGCUCAUUCAGUGUCCUUCCCCAGACCUCAUGGCGCCAGGGUGGGGUCCUUCUGUGCUCCUCUGUCAUUCCUUUCAGCAGGACCUGCCGGUUAUUGGCUGUGGGCAACUAGGCUGACCAGUGAAAUCUCCAGCAGGUGGAAAUACAGCAUUCAGUUUCCCAGAGCCCCAGUAGGUUUUCAUUCAAGAGGUGAAGAGAGUUUAAGAAGAUGAACUGAUUGCCAUGGAUGAGCAUCACUUAAGAAAUAUUGUUGUCUAGGAGAUGACCCCAGAUGGAUGCUUGAAGACGAGGUGGCAAGUGACAGAGGCCAGGCCAAUGGGCGGGACUUGCCACUCCAGGAGAAUGGUGGCACUUUGCGGUUGCCUGGUGACACCCAGUGAUGUUACACUGUGUUUGAUGAUGAUAUCCACACUCGACAGAGCUGCACACCCUGAGGCAGGCAGUUUGUCUCCUUGUCCCCAGGGAGACAGAGCCUCCAAAGGCCACUAGAUUUCUGUUGGGCCUGGCUUUUCCACUGGAUUUCUGAAAGCCAGGAAGUUCCCUAAGGAGGCGGAAUGAACAGAGGAGUAAGUUCAUUCAUUCGCUCGUUCCUUCCUUAAAGCUUUAUCAAAGGCCUGAUUUGUGCCUGGCUCCUUGUAAGAUGCUGAUGGCCUGGCCUCUGCCCUCGAGAAGGCCCAGUCUGACUGCAUAGAAAAGUCUCCACAGCAAAGGAGAAAUUGGAGCGGAAGGUCGGCCUUCCCACAGCCUGUCAGUGCAGCGGCAGCAGGAAAGGUGCCACCUGUCACACAGACAGAAGGGGACACGUCCUGGCCAGUCCGUGGAAAUGAGGCAGAAGGUAAGAACAGAGGCCAGUUGACGUCUCCCUGGCUGGUGUUGUGUAUACCCAACGAUUGACACCGCUGCGCUCCUCUGAGGUUCAUAGAGCACUAAUGGAGGCCUGCAUUAACCUGGGUGGUGAGCCUCCUGGACAGGUGUGAUGCUGCUCCUGACUUCAGGGGACUCUGAGAGUAACGGGAGGUUGAGCAACAAAUGCUGUCUCAAGGAAACUCUCCCAAGCGGUGGUGGACCCAGAGGACUGCAAAGGUGCCCAUCUCAGCCCAGGUAUUACUGAAUGUGAGGUCCACUACGCGGAGAUGGUGCUACAAAAGCAGGUGAAGGGCCGACAGGAGGAAGGAUGCUAUCCAAAAGCCUCAGAGGCUGAAAGGACUCAGUACAGUGUUGGCUAUUGUGGUGAGACAUGCUGGGGGACAGGCAUGCAGGCAGAGGGCCUGGCAGAGGGGAGAGGAUGAGAGGAGGCCAGCUGGAGUGGAAAGGAGGCGCCUAUCAAGGGGCGUGGAGGUCAGUCAGACCUGCUCCCUGGGUGGGAAAUGUGUGACAGAAGGUGCGGGCCUUGGCGGUGAGGGAGGAGGAAGGUCAAGGUGGGGGAGCUGGUGGGUGAUCUUCAGAUGGGUCUGAACAGCUUGAGGUGCCUGUGAGGGCUGUGGGGUGUCCGUGGGGCCCCCGACGUACAGGCCAGGCUGGAGAGAGAGGACUGCAGAUAGCGACGUGGGAGUCUCAGCUUAUCGACUGUGGUGAUGCUGUGAGAGGGGCUGACGUCACUCAGUAAGCAGGGAUUUGAGCCGUUUGGCAGUUUGAGGAAGGCUGCACAGUGAUUGCAGAAGCUGGCGGCUGGAAGGAGGUCACCUGUGUGUCCAUCUUGAAGUCCCGGAGGGCAGGAACUGUACUCACCAAUUUGCAUGCAUUGUAUAUAUAGUAGGUGCUUAGUAAAUGAUUGUAUUAGUAAGUGUUUAAUAAAUGAAUUUGGAACAAAGGAAGACAAA
Ictidomys tridecemlineatus (thirteen-lined ground squirrel) is the source of this 1851-nucleotide non-coding RNA. Lineage: Eukaryota; Metazoa; Chordata; Mammalia; Rodentia; Sciuridae. The record is from RefSeq and is a predicted model, not a curated record.